CUUGCGUUCGUCUCGCCGCUCCCCGCCCCCACACCGGGCGCGCGCACUCCGCUUUCGGAGCCGGCAGGGAAGAUGGGCCGGGGCGCCCGGGUCCCAGGCGGCGAGGCGCCGGCGUCUUAGAGCGGAGCCCGGAGCUUUCGGAGUGCGAGUGCCAGUGCUUCCUGAGCAAGGCUGCCUCCACUGUCACCCACACAUUCCAGUGUCUUGCAGAGUCCUCUGAAAAAGAAGUAGCAUGAAUGUCUGCCGCAGCUGCUUCCUAAAGGAGCCAAUAAGGGAAGAAGUGAUGAGAACGGCACAGCUAUUAACAGACCAACAAUGGUGAAGGAGUACAUCAGAAUCCUUGUGAGUCCAAACUGAGGCAUCAACUGCUGCUGAGGGACGAGUCAUGGAGGAGCAAUACAUCAUAUGAAACCAUACCUUUUUCCCCCUCACAUUCCUAUCACGGGCUUCCUGUUCUAAGAGCUCAGCAGACAGUGACUGGAGACACUGCCUCCCAACUUCGGUUCACCUUUGCAGUUCCACAAGGGACACCAUGUCAAGAUUGUUCAGCUUUUUUGAUGAGUGCUGCGUGAGUAACUAAUGUGUAAAUGCAGAUAUGUAUAGAAAGCAGUUUUGACAGUGAUGUAUUGCAACUGGUUCCAGAUGUCGGUAAGGGAUGCUUGGCCAGGCAUCUGGGGCUCCACUGCCACAGAACAGCACCAGGACCAAACCAGUCUUCAAAACACCAUGGCACUUUAACUUCAAUUAAAAUCUUCUUAAAACAAUUAUGUUGUUUCUCUUCUUUCAAGACAACAUCAUAGUAUUCUCCU
Long non-coding RNA from Perognathus longimembris pacificus (Pacific pocket mouse), 809 nucleotides. RefSeq lists it as uncharacterized. Lineage: Eukaryota; Metazoa; Chordata; Mammalia; Rodentia; Heteromyidae. The record is from RefSeq and is a predicted model, not a curated record. The transcript is spliced from 3 exons.